Molecule: ribosomal RNA, 301 nt
Filed under: uncultured bacterium
Lineage: Bacteria
Description: partial 16S ribosomal RNA
Rfam family: Bacterial small subunit ribosomal RNA
Source: RNAcentral
CAGCCGCCGCGGGAAUACGAAGGGGGCUAGCGUUGCUCGGAAUGACUGGGCGUAGAGGGCGCGUAGGCGGCGAUCAAAGUCAGGCGUGAAAUUCCUGGGCUCAACCUGGGGGCUGCGCUUGAUACUUGGUUGCUUGAGUGGGGAAGAGGGUCGUGGAAUUCCCAGUGUAGAGGUGAAAUUCGUAGAUAUUGGGAGGAACACCGGUGGCGAAGGCGGCGACCUGGUCCUUGACUGACGCUGAGGCGCGAAAGCGUGGGGAGCAAACAGGAUUAGAUACCCCCAGUAGUCCCUGUCUCUUAUA